Molecule: non-coding RNA, 81 nt
Organism: Podarcis lilfordi (Lilford's wall lizard)
Lineage: Eukaryota; Metazoa; Chordata; Lepidosauria; Squamata; Lacertidae
Source: the annotation of a GenBank genome assembly
GGUACCAUAUAGCUCAGUGGGAGAACAUCUGCUUUGCAUGCAGAAUGCAGAAGGUCCCAGGUUCAACCCCAGGCAUCUCCA